This 253-nucleotide ribosomal RNA is filed under the name uncultured bacterium. RNAcentral describes it as "partial 16S ribosomal RNA". It matches the Rfam family "Bacterial small subunit ribosomal RNA", at positions 524 to 776 of the family's 1533-position model. The record is from RNAcentral.
UACAGAGGGUGCGAGCGUUGUCCGGAAUCACUGGGCGUAAAGGGCGCGUAGGUGGCCUGGCAAGCGUGCGGUGAAAGCUCGGGGCUCAACCCCGAGUCGGCCGUGCGAACUGCUGGGCUCGAGCACUGUAGAGGCAGGCGGAAUUCCGGGUGUAGCGGUGGAAUGCGUAGAGAUCCGGAAGAACACCGGUGGCGAAGGCGGCCUGCUGGGCAGUGGCUGACACUGAGGCGCGACAGCGUGGGGAGCAAACAGG